Small nuclear RNA from Chlorocebus sabaeus (green monkey), 163 nucleotides. Its record names the gene U1. It matches the Rfam family "U1 spliceosomal RNA". From Rfam's summary of the family: U1 is a small nuclear RNA (snRNA) component of the spliceosome (involved in pre-mRNA splicing). NCBI's taxonomy places the organism in Eukaryota, Metazoa, Chordata, Mammalia, Primates, Cercopithecidae. The record is from Ensembl.
AUACUUAUCUGGCAGGGGAGAUACCAUGUUCACGAAGGUGGUUUUCCAAGGGCCAGGUUUAUCCAUUGCACUCUGGAUGUGCUGACCCCAGUGAUUUGCCCCUAUGUGGGAAACUUGACUGCGUAAUUUGUGUAGUGAGGGAUUGCGUUCACACUUUCCCUUG